ACGGGUGAGUAACACGUGGGCAAUCUGCCCUGCACUCUGGGACAAGCCCUGGAAACGGGGUCUAAUACCGGAUACAACCACUGACCGCAUGGUCGGGUGGUGGAAAGCUCCGGCGGUGCAGGAUGAGCCCGCGGCCUAUCAGCUUGUUGGUGAGGUAGUGGCUCACCAAGGCGACGACGGGUAGCCGGCCUGAGAGGGCGACCGGCCACACUGGGACUGAGACACGGCCCAGACUCCUACGGGAGGCAGCAGUGGGGAAUAUUGCACAAUGGGCGAAAGCCUGAUGCAGCGACGCCGCGUGAGGGAUGACGGCCUUCGGGUUGUAAACCUCUUUCAGCAGGGAAGAAGCGAAAGUGACGGUACCUGCAGAAGAAGCGCCGGCUAACUACGUGCCAGCAGCCGCGGUAAUACGUAGGGCGCAAGCGUUGUCCGGAAUUAUUGGGCGUAAAGAGCUCGUAGGCGGCUUGUCACGUCGGUUGUGAAAGCCCGGGGCUUAACCCCGGGUCUGCAGUCGAUACGGGCAGGCUAGAGUUCGGUAGGGGAGAUCGGAAUUCCUGGUGUAGCGGUGAAAUGCGCAGA
This 579-nucleotide ribosomal RNA is filed under the name Streptomyces sp. HRRP014. Its description in RNAcentral is "bacterial SSU rRNA". It matches the Rfam family "Bacterial small subunit ribosomal RNA", at positions 102 to 694 of the family's 1533-position model. Lineage: Bacteria; Bacillati; Actinomycetota; Actinomycetes; Kitasatosporales; Streptomycetaceae. RNAcentral also lists the same sequence under 11 other names. The record is from RNAcentral.